Molecule: ribosomal RNA, 254 nt
Filed under: uncultured bacterium
Lineage: Bacteria
Description: partial 16S ribosomal RNA
Rfam family: Bacterial small subunit ribosomal RNA
Source: RNAcentral
UACGUAGGGAGCAAGCGUUGUUCGGAUUUACUGGGCGUAAAGGGCGCGUAGGCGGCAUAUUAAGUCAUCUGUGAAAUCUCCGAGCUUAACUCGGAACUGUCAGCUGAUACUGAUGUGCUAGAGUGCGGAAGGGGCAAUCGGAAUUCUUGGUGUAGCGGUGAAAUGCGUAGAUAUCAAGAGGAACACCUGAGGUGAAGACGGGUUGCUGGGCCGACACUGACGCUGAGUGCGCGAAAGCGUGGGGAGCAGACAGG